UACGGAGGGUGCGAGCGUUAACCGGAAUCACUGGGUUUAAAGGGUGCGUAGGCGGCUCGGUAAGUCAGUUGUGAAAGCCCCUUGCUUAACGAGGGAGGUGCGAUUGAUACUGUCGAGCUUGAAUCGGGAUGAGGCAGGCGGAAUGUGGCAUGUAGCGGUGAAAUGCAUAGAGAUGCCAGAGAACACCGAUUGCGAAGGCAGCCUGCUGGGCCUGUAUUGACGCUGAGGCACGAAAGCGUGGGGAGCAAACAGG
RNAcentral lists this ribosomal RNA (253 nucleotides) under uncultured bacterium. RNAcentral's name for it is "partial 16S ribosomal RNA". It matches the Rfam family "Bacterial small subunit ribosomal RNA", at positions 524 to 776 of the family's 1533-position model. The record is from RNAcentral.